This is a long non-coding RNA of Culex quinquefasciatus (southern house mosquito), 2245 nucleotides long. RefSeq lists it as uncharacterized. The transcript is spliced from 3 exons. The record is from RefSeq and is a predicted model, not a curated record. NCBI's taxonomy places the organism in Eukaryota, Metazoa, Arthropoda, Insecta, Diptera, Culicidae.
ACGAAAUGUUGUGCGAAGUAAAGUGAGUACAUGUGUUCAAAGUAAAUUGGUUUCAAAAUGUAAAAAGGGUGUUUUAAAAACGGAAAAGAGAAGUGAACUAGCAGAAAAACGAUGAUCAAUUACAAGAAAAGCAAGAUGAAAAACUGAAUUUAAAGUUUCGCGACCUGCACGACUUCAACAGGUGAGACUGGAUUUUCUGACAACGAGUUUUGAGGAAUUUUAAAUCAAUGUUUUAUGUUGAAUGUUAAAUUUAUGUAUUCAGCAAGAGAAGUUGAGAGUUUAGACGAGAAUGGUUGUUAACAGCAGAAUGGAGUGCAAGCAAGAAAGUUUUGAAAGCAGAGAUUCUUUAGUUUCGGAAGCUUGAUAGAAUUUCAGGUGAGACUAAAGAUCUGCGGGAGAAAUAAGUAUCUGAAAGUGCCAGUAAACGCGAAGCUGAUUCUAAGUGUUUCUUUCGGUCAGGCGUGGCAACAAGUAAGAACAAGAAGAGCAAGAUUUAUUUGUGGUGGACAGUUUUUGAACUUGAAAGCCCAAAAAAAGUCACAGUACCAGAACAAAGAUUUUAACACUUUGAAACAUCUUUAUCGUUGUUUCGCUGAAAAGUGUAUAGAGCCAAGAAAUUUCCAGCCAAGUACCAGAGUAUUAGUACACUAUUGUCCCGUACCAGUUGGACGGGCAUAGUAAAUGUGUGAUCAUGAUCAAGGUUUUUUUUGUUAUUUACAAGCUACAAGAGUACAAGAGAGAUGACACGAGUCUAAUGAGAAGUUUGUUUGUAUAGUAUUUGAGUAUAUUUUCGUUUGUUGUUUGUAGUCCUUUAUGUACUCGUGCAACAAAAGGUUGAAUGAAAACAGAAAGAAAACAAUCCACAAAAAUUUAAAUAAAGUGGAAGCGACAGAUGAAUCAAACUGAUACAAGAUUACGAGACUAAGAAUGCAGAAUUCAGAAUCGCGAUGAGUAGUUUGAUUGACGAAUCAAAUUUACCCUACUUUGAUGUUAUGUGUUGAAUGUUCAAUUUUGAAGUAACAAUUCGAUAAACUUCCGAUUUGUGAUAAAAGAUCAAAACGCUCAAACAUUCAAACAACCUCAUUAGGAAAACUCGUAAUGAUUCCAGAGAGAGAAGAUUGUUCUCUUCCUUAGAACAAAGAUCUGUUCGGGAAUAAGGGAGAAGGAAGAUCGAGUAAUCGGUUUACUUAGCAUCGUUGAAGAAUAAUCAUCCUUUGUUAAGGUGAAUCUAUUCGCUAGUUCGACGUACGAAUGUGGAUUUUCGAUCGAGCCCGAUCAAAGGCUUAACUGUGAAAACAGUGUCAAAAACCCGGGCCUAUUUUGACUUGAUUUUUCCUAGUAUAAAAAAAUUAAUAAAUGUUUUACAUUUUUAAUUUUUUUAAGGGGGAGUGUGAGGUAGUGUUACCGUUGCGGCUAUAUGCUCUACUUUGCCCCUUAAUCAGUCAUGGGCAACUAGGAGGAUUUUGCAAGCUUUACAUUAAAAUUAGGGUAUCACAGAUUAGAGAGUUUGUGUAGUCUUAAAAUUAAAAAUUGUCAAGUAAAUAAAAGUAAAAUAAAUAUCACAAACAAUAUAAAAUCAGAGCACAGCUAGGGAUCAUAACCAUAAAACACACUGUUAUUGCAAACCGCAGGAACAAAGUUUGUUAACACACUGUACAAACCUACAUUGCGGGAUUGCUACCAGAAAAGUACGAAGUAGUACUGUAAGGAGAGGACUAGAGGAAAAAGGGAAUAAAGGGGCUAACAAGAAGCGAGAGAGUACUCUACUGAAGGUCAGCAUCGACUUGGAAGACCUUUUCUACUUGACCUUCCCAGCAAGCAACAUCGAGCUGAAGAACAAGAAGUGAUCGUCAAGACUUAGCAAAUUUGUCAUUGUACAUGUAGUAAGUGGAAAAUUAGAGGAGUUGCACAAGCAAAGAUUGGCGAAUCAGGACCCAAGGUUUCCGCUCAAGAACCAGAUCACGGCGACCGCGAACGAUCGCCACCAGCACGCCGAAGUGACGGACUCGAUGCCGAAGGCUAUCCGGCGAAUGUCCACCCAAGAACCGUCUGAAGACCCGGCACGUGACCACGUGGUCCCGGUCUAACCCACACCCAAGAUGUCGGCCUGCAAGGCCGGAGAUAUCAGCGCCCCCCCCCCUCCUCGUGCGUGGCGUGGGCGUACCUGCGAAGAGCAGGCCAGAUGCUCCAGAAACAAGUUCCGGACGCGGUCGAGGGCGAUCGUGGACCUCCGGAGCAAGCCAGC